AGAAUUUGAUCUUGGUCAGGAUGAACGCUGGCGGCGUGCCUAACACAUGCAAGUCGAACGAGGGUCCUAAACCUGAGAUUCGUCGAAGGGGAAGGAAUUCCGAGUGGCGGAUGGGUGAGUAACGCGUGGAGAACCUGCCCUUUGCUGGGGGAUAACAACUGGAAACGGUUGACAAUACCGCAUAAGCUCGAUGGACCGCAUGAUCUAUCGAGGAAAGAUUUAUCGGCAGAGGAUGGCUCCGCGUCGGAUUAGCCAGUUGGCGGGGUAACGGCCCACCAAAGCGACGAUCCGUAGCCGGCCUGAGAGGGCGACCGGCCACAUUGGGACUGAGACACGGCCCAGACUCCUACGGGAGGCAGCAGUGGGGGAUAUUGCACAAUGGGGGGAACCCUGAUGCAGCCGACGCCGCGUGAGUGAAGAAGUGCUUCGGCAUGUAAAGCUCUAUCAGCAGGGAAGAAGAUGACGGUACCUGCACAAGAAGCCCCGGCUAACUACGUGCCAGCCGCCGC
RNAcentral lists this ribosomal RNA (509 nucleotides) under uncultured bacterium. RNAcentral's name for it is "bacterial SSU rRNA". It matches the Rfam family "Bacterial small subunit ribosomal RNA", at positions 8 to 518 of the family's 1533-position model. The record is from RNAcentral.